Molecule: transfer RNA, 84 nt
Filed under: Empedobacter brevis
Lineage: Bacteria; Pseudomonadati; Bacteroidota; Flavobacteriia; Flavobacteriales; Weeksellaceae
Also listed under: 19 other names
Description: tRNA-Ser(gct)
Rfam family: tRNA
About the family: Transfer RNA (tRNA) molecules are approximately 80 nucleotides in length.
Source: RNAcentral
GGAGAGGUGCCAGAGCGGUAAUGGAGCAGAUUGCUAAUCUGUCAUCGGGAAACCGAUGCCAGGGUUCGAGUCCCUGUCUCUCCG